Oryza glaberrima (African rice) is the source of this 208-nucleotide non-coding RNA. NCBI's taxonomy places the organism in Eukaryota, Viridiplantae, Streptophyta, Magnoliopsida, Poales, Poaceae. The record is from Rfam.
AAUAAGUGCAGUUUUACACUAUUCACGUUCAACUUUGACCGUUCGUCCUAUUUGAAAUUUUUUUUAUUAUUAGUAUUUUUAUUGCUAUUAGAUGAUAAAACAUAAAUAGUACUUUAUGUGUGACUAAAUAUUUUUAAAUUUUCCGCAAAAUUUUCAAAUAAGACGGAUGGUUAAAUGUUGGGCACGGAUAUCUACUGCUGCAUUUAUU